AUGACUAUCAUCGAAGGCCAGGUCGCUACGGCGACAAUGACGAUGGAGCAGAUGCAGUCCACCCUUGGUGAUCUCAUUAUUGGCCUCACCAAGACCUCAGAAACGCUUAACAAGACAGCUGAUACGGUAACCCAAACGGCGACGAGCUGUCAAGCGCUGCAAAUCACCACCGAGCGGCUUCUCAAGGCUAAUGAAAAUGUCUCCAACAAGGUGGCCGUCUUGGAGACUCAAGUCGAGGGUUUCAGUGUGCGUCUUACCUCAUUGGAAGGCACUAUAGCUACUGCUACACGAACUCCUGGCCCAGGUGGGCGCCGUGAAGAAUUUGCAAACCAGGACAAUGCUCAAGGGCAUGUCCUGGGCAAUGGUGCGUUUCGCCUCUCUCAAAACCAGCAUGAAUCUGGUCCAUCUCAUCUCCGUACUGCACUACAUGAGGAUAAUUUGGGUUUUAGGCAUGAUAGGAAUACUAGAGAUCAGUCUCGUGAUUUUCAUAUGCCCAAAACUUCAUUCCCUAAGUUUGAUGGUACAGACCCAAAGAUAUGGAAAGAUAAGGCUAAAAAGUAUUUCCAUAUGUUUCAUGUCCCUGAAGACUAUAAAGUGGACUAUGCAACAUUACAUUUCAUUAAUACAGCAGCUAUGUGGCUUCAGACCUACGAAGCCAACCAUGACAUCAAUAGUUGGCCUCAAUUGUGUGUUGCUGUGUGUCAGAAAUUUGGUAAGAAUUUGUACUACACCAAUAUGACUAAAACACUAGAAAUUAGACAAACAGGUGAUGUCGAGAGUUACCAUAGGGAAUUUGAGUUACUCAUGCAUCAGUUGCUUACACACAACUCUGCUCUUGAUGAUACCUUUUUUGUAACAAAGUUUCUUAAAGGAUUAAAAAAAGAGAUUAGUUCCGCUCUGGUUUUGCAUAAACCAAGGACAGUUGAUGCGGCUAUUUCUCUAGCCUUAUUGCAGGAAGCUUAG
RNAcentral lists this ribosomal RNA (963 nucleotides) under Triticum aestivum (bread wheat). RNAcentral's name for it is "partial small subunit ribosomal RNA". Lineage: Eukaryota; Viridiplantae; Streptophyta; Magnoliopsida; Poales; Poaceae. The record is from RNAcentral.